ACCCGCUGAACUUAAGCAUAUCAAUAAGCGGAGGAAAAGAAACCAACCGGGAUUACCUCAGUAACGGCGAGUGAAGCGGUAACAGCUCAAAUUUGAAAUCUGGCUCCUCUGGAGUCCGAGUUGUAAUUUGUAGAAGAUGCUUUGGGUUGUGGGUUCGGCCUAAGUUCCUUGGAACAGGACGUCAUAGAGGGUGAGAAUCCCGUAUGUGGCCGAGGCCCGCGCCUAUGUAAAGCUCUUUCAACGAGUCGAGUUGUUUGGGAAUGCAGCUCAAAAUGGGUGGUAAAUUUCAUCUAAAGCUAAAUAUGGGCCAGAGACCGAUAGCGCACAAGUAGAGUGAUCGAAAGAUGAAAAGCACUUUGGAAAGAGAGUUAAACAGUACGUGAAAUUGUUGAAAGGGAAGCGCUUGCACCCAGACUUGGGCGCUGCUGAUCACCUUGCGGUCUCCGCGAGUGCACUCGACAGCGCACAGGCCAGCAUCGGUUCGGGUGGCUGGAUAAAGGCCGUAGGAACGUAGCUCCCUUCGGGGAGUGUUAUAGCCUACGGUGCCAUGCAGCCCAGCCGGACCGAGGACCGCGCCUUCGGGCUAGGAUGCUGGCGUAAUGGGUGUAAGCGACCCGUCUUGAAACACGGACCAAGG
RNAcentral lists this ribosomal RNA (637 nucleotides) under Erysiphe euonymi. RNAcentral describes it as "LSU rRNA". It matches the Rfam family "Eukaryotic large subunit ribosomal RNA", at positions 23 to 671 of the family's 3401-position model. The record is from RNAcentral. Lineage: Eukaryota; Fungi; Ascomycota; Leotiomycetes; Helotiales; Erysiphaceae.